AGAGUUUGAUCCUGGCUCAGGAUGAACGUUGGUAGCAUGACUAACAUAUGCAAGUCGAACGCGAAAGGUGUAAUCUGAAAGGAGCAAUCUGAUUAGGUUAUACUGAGUAAAGUGGCGAAAGGGUGAGUAAUGCUUAUUUUACCUACCGUUUAGUGGGGAGAAAUACCGCAUAUUCUGACUUCGGUCAGGAAAGGAAGUCG
Molecule: ribosomal RNA, 200 nt
Filed under: uncultured bacterium
Lineage: Bacteria
Description: partial 16S ribosomal RNA
Rfam family: Bacterial small subunit ribosomal RNA
Source: RNAcentral